This 796-nucleotide ribosomal RNA is filed under the name Halarchaeum sp. Its description in RNAcentral is "bacterial SSU rRNA". It matches the Rfam family "Archaeal small subunit ribosomal RNA". Lineage: Archaea; Methanobacteriati; Methanobacteriota; Halobacteria; Halobacteriales; Halobacteriaceae. The record is from RNAcentral.
CGGAUGAUUAGCAUGCUAGUUGUCGAGUUGAGACUCGUAGCGGAAAGCUCAGUAACACGUGGUCAAGCUACCCUGUAGCGACGGAUAACCUCGGGAAACUGAGGCUAAUACGUCAUAACGCUCGAUAUCUGGAGUGAUUCGAGCCGGAAACGCCUUUGGGGCUACGGGAGGCAAUGGCGUCCAAUUAGGUAAACGGGGGGGUAACGGCCCACCGGGCCCUUAACCGGUACGGGUGGGGAAAGCAAAACCCCGGAAACGGUUUCGGAAACAAAAUACGGGGCCCUACGGGGCGCAGCGGGGCGAAAACCUUUACUGGAACGGAAGUGGAAUAGGGGAAUUCCAAGUGGUGGGCAAUGGACCUCACCUUUUGUGAACGGUAGGGGGGCUAAGAAUAAGACUGGGAAAACGGGGCCCGCCCGCCGGGAAUCCGGAGCUCGAGGAUACCGAUUUUUUGGCCAAGGGUCCUUGGUGGCAGGAAUCCGUUGGAAAUCACCUGCUUACAGGUGGCGUCCAGCGGAAACUGCUUGGCUUGGGACCGGAAGAUCCAAGGGGUACGUCCGGGGUAGGAGUGAAAUCCUGUAAUCCUGGACGGACCGCCGAUGGCGAAAGCACCUUGGAAGGACGGAUCCGACAGUGAAGGACGAAAGCUAGGGUCUCGAACCGGAUUAGAUACCCGGUAGUCCUAGCUGUAACGAUGUCCGCUAGGUUGCAAGCCUACCAGUCUGUGCCUGUGCGGUAAGGAGGCUGAACCCGAACGCUUGUAGGUUCGUCUGGUACGAUCACCCUCAAUGUAUUG